RNAcentral lists this ribosomal RNA (460 nucleotides) under uncultured bacterium. RNAcentral's name for it is "partial 16S ribosomal RNA". It matches the Rfam family "Bacterial small subunit ribosomal RNA", at positions 338 to 795 of the family's 1533-position model. The record is from RNAcentral.
CCUACGGGUGGCAGCAGUGAGGAAUAUUGGUCAAUGGCCGGAAGGCUGAACCAGCCAUGCCGCGUGAAGGUCAGUGCCCUAUGGGCGUUAAACUUCUUUUGUGCGGGAGCAAUAAUGGUCACGUGUGGCCAGACGAGAGUACCGUACGAAUAAGCAUCGGCUAACUCCGUGCCAGCAGCCGCGGUAAUACGGGGGAUGCAAGAGUUAUCCGGAUUUAUUGGGGUUAAAGGGUGCGUAGGCUGUGAGGUAAGUCAGCGGUGAAAUGCCCCCGCUCAACGGGGUGAAGUGCCAUUGAUACUGCCUUGCUGGAAGGCGGAUGCCGUGAGAGGAAUGUGUGGUGUAGCGGUGAAAUGCAUAGAUAUCACACAGAACACUGAUUGCGAAGGCAUCUCACGAAUCCGCGAUUGACGCUGAUGCACGAAAGCGUGGGGAGCAAACAGGAUUAGAUACCCGGGUAGUC